CACUUACUUUAAAGUAAGAGUAAAAUCUUGUACUUUCCCUUAUUUUUUCUGGCACAACGGAUCCCGAUUUGACCAUCAUAUCUACUGCACAUUUGUUUAACGUCUGUAAAAUCUUGUUGAAACUUCGGCUGGUAGUGAAAUGCGAUCAGCCAAAUUUUUGACGAAUCAAGCAAUAUCAAGUAUUUUGACCAACAAUGAGUAGGAACGUUGCAAGCAUUUCUUCAAUACAAAUAUACCUAGUAUCUUGUAAGAGCCCUUUUUCUCUAAUGAUAUUGCUUAAUUUUAGAAAUACAUUUGGAUACAUUCUAUAAACUUGUCGAAAGUUUUCUGGAUCCUCCUUUAAUAUUUUAUGUAUAUAGUCAUAUCCAUAUCUAAUUUUUGGUUGCCUAGUUAGUGAAUGUGUAGUAUGUGCACAACACAUAUUAUUUGUAUAAUCAUUUAUCAUGUAGAGAAUUGCUUGAAUUCCCAUCCAUAAAUACCGAAUGUUUUCAUAUAAUGCUUCCUUAUAGUUAUCUUCUUCAAUCUCAUCCACCUCUUUUUCAUGAUCUUCAUGUAUGUUAACAUUAGACAUUAUAUAUACGGAAGUA
RNAcentral lists this long non-coding RNA (587 nucleotides) under Olea europaea subsp. europaea. Lineage: Eukaryota; Viridiplantae; Streptophyta; Magnoliopsida; Lamiales; Oleaceae. The record is from RNAcentral.